AGAGUAGGCGAGGUGGUUGCGGAUUCAGCUACGGCUGAGUCUGAGGAAAGUCCGGCCUCCCGAAAGACCAAACUUGCUGGGUAACGCCCAGUGCGAGCGAUCGUGAGGAUAGUGCCACAGAAAAAUACCGCCCCUCGAUUUUAGAUUUUAGACUUUGGAUUCAAUCUAAAAUCUAAAAUCCAAAAUCCAAAGUUGUAGGGGGUAAGGGUGCAAAGGUGCGGUAAGAGCGCACCAGCAGCAUCGAGAGGUGCUGGCUCGGUAAACCCCGGUUGGGAGCAAGGAAGGAGCUACGGUUGGUCUUUUACCAGUUCCGACGAAAACCCGCUAGAGGCGUUUGGUAACAAACGUCCCAGAUAGAUAACCGCCGUUUUGGUUGGUUCGCCGCCAAGAUAACAGAACCCGGCUUAUGACCGACUCUUUCC
This 422-nucleotide RNase P RNA is filed under the name Microcoleus sp. FACHB-831. Its description in RNAcentral is "Bacterial RNase P class A". It matches the Rfam family "Bacterial RNase P class A". From Rfam's summary of the family: Ribonuclease P (RNase P) is a ubiquitous endoribonuclease, found in archaea, bacteria and eukarya as well as chloroplasts and mitochondria. Its best characterised activity is the generation of mature 5'-ends of tRNAs by cleaving the 5'-leader elements of precursor-tRNAs. The record is from Rfam by way of RNAcentral. Lineage: Bacteria; Bacillati; Cyanobacteriota; Cyanophyceae; Oscillatoriales; Microcoleaceae.